AGAAUCAACGCUGGCGGCGUGCCUAACACAUGCAAGUCGAACGAGAAAGUGGAGCAAUCCAUGAGUAAAGUGGCGACCGGGUGAGUAACACGUGACUAACCUACCUUCGAGUGGGGGAUAACCUAGGGAAACCUGGGCUAAUACCGCAUAACAUCUUUGGAUCGGAAGAACUGAAGAUCAAAGGAGCAAUUCGCUUGAAGAGGGGGUCGCGGCUGAUUAGCUAGUUGGCGGGGUAAUGGCCACCAAGGCUUUGAUCGGUA
This 260-nucleotide ribosomal RNA is filed under the name uncultured bacterium. Its description in RNAcentral is "partial small subunit ribosomal RNA". It matches the Rfam family "Bacterial small subunit ribosomal RNA", at positions 26 to 285 of the family's 1533-position model. The record is from RNAcentral.